This is a long non-coding RNA of Uranotaenia lowii, 800 nucleotides long. RefSeq lists it as uncharacterized. The record is from RefSeq and is a predicted model, not a curated record. NCBI's taxonomy places the organism in Eukaryota, Metazoa, Arthropoda, Insecta, Diptera, Culicidae. The transcript has 3 exons.
AUUUGCAGACAAACGCGUUUUUUAAAAACUUCAUUUUUCCGCGUAGCUGGAUCGAGUUCCGGAUUAAAUCGGUCCUUGUUAUUUCGGAGCACAUCGAAUUUGUUGGUGGUGAUCAAAGAACACCGAUGAGAUAUGACCCCGCACGAAAAGCAGAACCCGGAUUACACUUCCGGUAUUGGUGCGAAAAUGCAAGAUCGGAAGUCGGAAGAGUGACUGUUUUUUCACCAUCCGGGAGAAGCUGGAACGGGCUGGACUGCUUAAAAAACAUCACCCGCCGGUCAAAAAUGAAUACCUCACUCCCUCGUGAACGAACAGUACUGGAGACAAUGAUAUUUUGACCAUUUUCAUCUACAAAAUGUCACCAAGGUAUAUCGCCACUUCCGGCGUUGUCCGGCACCGGCGUUAUGUUAGAUUUUUUUUUAAUUUUAAUUCGGUAUUAGUGGGAGGAGAGGGGCCUUUGAUGCUACCGGGUGUUUCAACUGUGUUCAUCUAGCGAUCUUGCCUUAAAAUGUUGUUAUAAAGUAUCAUCUCUGUAUGAAUAAAAUUUACUUGGGAAACAGAACAUACCUAAUUAAAAAAAAUACAAUUGUAUCUUGUUGAGGUCAUGUGGAUUUUUCGAUUAACAACGAUAACUGUUUUAAUAUGAUGGAUUGGUUUAAAUAAAUAAGAAUACUAAAUAGAAACCGGAGAUUUUAAUGAAAAUUUUACUAUAGAAACUCUUCCAAAUCUGCAAAUUACACAGCUCUUUAAAAAAACGGUUAAAGAAUAACCUUUUUUCAACUUCUCCGCUAGAAUCCCAU